GGGUGGUAAUGCCGGAUGCUCCAUCACACCGCAUGGUGUGUUGGGAAAGCCUUUGCGGCAUGGGAUGGGGUCGCGUCCUAUCAGCUUGAUGGCGGGGUAACGGCCCACCAUGGCUUCGACGGGUAGCCGGCCUGAGAGGGCGACCGGCCACAUUGGGACUGAGAUACGGCCCAGACUCCUACGGGAGGCAGCAGUGGGGAAUAUUGCACAAUGGGCGCAAGCCUGAUGCAGCGACGCCGCGUGAGGGAUGGAGGCCUUCGGGUUGUAAACCUCUUUUAUCAGGGAGCAAGGCUUCGGUUGAGUGUACCUGUUGAAUAAGCACCGGCUAACUACGUGCCAGCAGCCGCGGUAAUACGUAGGGUGCAAGCGUUAUCCGGAAUUAUUGGGCGUAAAGGGCUCGUAGGCGGUUCGUCGCGUCCGGUGUGAAAGUCCAUCGCUUAACGGUGGAUCCGCGCCGGGUACGGGCGGGCUUGAGUGCGGUAGGGGAGACUGGAAUUCCCGGUGUAACGGUGGAAUGUGUAGAUAUCGAAAAAAAA
Molecule: ribosomal RNA, 536 nt
Filed under: Bifidobacterium breve
Lineage: Bacteria; Bacillati; Actinomycetota; Actinomycetes; Bifidobacteriales; Bifidobacteriaceae
Description: bacterial SSU rRNA
Rfam family: Bacterial small subunit ribosomal RNA
Source: RNAcentral